GGACUACCGGGGUAUCUAAUCCUGUUUGCUCCCCACGCUGUCGCGCAUCAGCGUCAGUUGUGGCCCAGCCAACCGCCUUCGCCACCGGUGUUCUUCCGGAUCUCUACGCAUUCCACCGCUACACCCGGAAUUCCAUUGGCCUCUACCACACUCGAGCACGGGAGUAUCGCUGGCCGACUCAGAGUUGAGCCCUGAGCUUUCACCAACGACUACCCGCGCCGCCUACGCGCCCUUUACGCCCAGUGAUUCCGGACAACGCUCGCACCCUCCGUAUUACCGCGGCUGCUGGCAC
RNAcentral lists this ribosomal RNA (292 nucleotides) under uncultured bacterium. RNAcentral describes it as "partial 16S ribosomal RNA". The record is from RNAcentral.